CUGUUGCAAUAGAUAGCUGGAUUCUCCUAUCUGCUUCUACAUCCCAUCUGUUGCGAUAUCACAUAUUGUGUGGUUUCUGGAAAAUUCCAUGAUGCGUGAGAGAAGUGUGAGAAAAGGCAAAUAGCAUCUUGUAUUAUGAAAAUAGUUUGGGCCACGUAGAAGGGGCCUCAGGGACGCCCCCAGAGUCCCCAGACCACACUUUGAAUACCUGUGAUCUAGAGUGAAGGGCGGUAUAUCUUUUCUUGGAGGGCCAUAUUGUAAAUAUUUUAGGCUUAAUCUGUCGUAGCUAUUCAACUCUGCUGUGGUAUCAGGAAAGCAGCUAUAGGUAACAUGUAAACAAAUGGGUAUGACCAUAACCCACAAAAACUUAUUUACAAAAACCUGCAGGGGGUGGGAGGAGGUGGGCUGGAUUUGGCCAGUGAGCCAGCUCCUGGUCUACAGCACCAAGCUUGCUGGGGCCCUGGGUUUGGGGCUUGUGCCACAAAAGGGGGAGGACAGUGCCAUCUGAUUCGUCCUAGCCAGGCCCCUUCCAGAGGAAGAGAAAAGGAAUUUCUCAGAGAAGACUAGAUCUUGUAUUUUAAUUACCCUAGUUCCCAACUGGUAAAAUCCACAGUCUCCACCUUCUACUUAGACAUCCCUCGGCCAGCUCUGCUUCUCCCAUGGCCCAAGCUUCUGCCCUGCAACUCUGCUGCUCAUCGGGAAGCAGAUGCACAUCCAACUCUGGGGAAGCUGUGCUGGCCAUCUCUGCCUGUCCUGCCACCUCGGGUCAUGGGCACCCGGGCAGGCAGUACAAGCUAGCCAAGUGGGCCAGCCAUCCCCCUGACUCCUGAGUUAGGCCACCUUAGUGGCAUUUUGUCAUCUGUACUUCUGUUUCCUUUUGGAGCCUCUUGCCCACACACCCCUGUUCCCAGGGGGACCAAAGCUGUCUUUGGACUUGAGUCUUAACCUGCCUUUUACCACUCUUGCCUAUCCCAUGCCCCUAGACCUGGUGGGAAUAAAAAGUCUUCAGUGAGCCGGUGUUUUUAUUCCUCUGCUGCAGAGGCAAAGAACUCCUGGUUCUGGUUCCUUUGUGGAUCCAAGUCUCUGACCUGACAUUUCCUCCGGUCAUUCCCAUUCGUCCUCUGGUCCUUCCCUUGACUCUGCCUCCUCCGCAGCCCCUUGGCAACCUGACCUGUGCUGGCUGCUUUCCAGCUGGAGGACAUGGCCUCUGGACCCCAGACUGGCCUGGGCACGAAGGAAAACAGGAGCCUGGGGCAGCCUAAGAAACUUGUAUUGAAUGCACUUCCCCUUCCUCAACGGUCCACCAGCUUCAUCUUCCUUUGCUGUCCUUGUCUUCUCUACCAGGGUAAUGCAGUCACCCCAGGGGGGCCUGAUACUACUGGGCAAAAGCUGGAGUCUGAGCAGGGUCGGGUGGGGCAGGCCCCAAACUAGUCUCCUUAGCUAUCAGAAGGGGACCCCCCAGUGUAUGCCCCAAACCAGCUUGCCCAGUUUCAUUCCCCAGAAAAAGAUUGUGUGCCACCAGCUUGGGAAGAGAUUCAUCUGUUCCUCUGCCUACCACUUUCAAACUCAACCAGGAAGUUAUUGCUAUUUGGCUUUAAAAAUAGAACAUUCAAGCUGGACUUUUAUGGUCUUGUGAGGAACACUGUGCUCAUGCCCACCCACACCUGGUCUCUGCCCCUGCCUGGCCUCAUCCAGCUGCUCAGGAGCCGUUCUCAGUGGGUCCCUCAGUGGAGACUUGGUAGAUUUAUGAGUUCGGCCUUGGCUGAGACCUUCUCCCCAUGGCUCCCAGCCACUGUUCAGCUGCUCUCCCACAUCCCAGGCAGCCCGCGGCUGGGACGUUCUGUGUCUUUUUCUGCCUCCACCCCAACUUGCUGAGUCACCCCUCAGCCCCUUUCCCCUGCUGCCCUGUCCAGCCCUGUGGAGGAGCAGUGGCUCGUCAUGCCAGAGCCUCAUUUAGUCUCACAAUGGCAAUGGUGGCUCUAAGGCUACCCGUGUUGGGACUCGAGUCAGCCUGGUCCAUCCCCUCCCGCUCUGAGGUCCUGAUCUUUAACAAAAAGCUGGUUCCUUCUCUGUCUGGACUUCAGGUGCCUUUGGGUUUGAAGCUGUCCCUGAUCUGAAAAGUUACUUUUAGUAUGUGUAGACUCUAGGAUUGGUCCUCAAAUGAUUUCUUCAGAGCCAGAGAGAAAUUCCACUAAAGCUCUCAGAGAUCUCCGGCACCCCGUGGCAAGACUUAAGGAGUGCCUGGGAGGGCAGUGCCUGUGGGGAGAAGCUGCCCCUGGAGAGCUCAUUUGUAGACAGAUUGUAGAAGUAACUCCAGAGCCAGUGAGGCCUUGGGCCAAAAUCAUAUAAGGAACCCAGUGAACACAGGCCUAUCUUGUUUUUCCUGGAGGUUAGGUUUCUAACAUAAUGGAAAGAGAAGACUAAUUAUCAUCCCCUGGAAAAGGUAAGUGUUCCCCUUCAAAGGUCCUUCAAGGAGGUAAUCAGGCCCAUCAAUAUCCUUCAGAUUCAAGGCCUUCAGGUGCUGUCUGCUUCAGUUCCAGUAGGCCUGCCUCUGGGAUAAGAUCAUGUCAAACUAGGCAGCUGGGACCAUCGAAAAGUUUCUCUGGAAACUGGAAUGCAAGCAAUGCAAGCUUUCUGGCUUAACCCAUAAAUCUAAGUCAUUAUCAAGAAAAGAGUGGAAGGGCGCAGGGCCCAGAGAGGGAGGAAGUGUAGUGAUGAGGGGCAGCUGGAGAGACCACAGUGCAGACAAGACUCCUAAAUUCCCCCCUGCCUCUUGGACAUCAGGUAAUGUCUUGUGGAGCAAUAACAAGCAGGCUCCCUUCUUCAGUUUCCAUCUGCCUACGUGACCCUGGCCCAGUUCUGUUCACACUCACAGCUGCCCAGAGCCUGUCCAGCCCUUGGCUUUCCCAUCAGCACCUGCAGCUGCUGCCCUCCUAGGCCUCCACCUCUGCACCUGCAUGUCCGGAGGGUUUGUGGGAAGCUUAGGGGAGAAAGCAGGGGCGGUGCCCUAACUCAACGUCCAACCCAACCAAACCCUGUCCUCUCCCACUUCCCUUGCAGCUACCACAACACCUGCCUCCCCCAGUGCUCCUGAGUACCCUCCCAUUGCCGAAGGGCCCACUGCUUCGCCUGGUCUGCGUGCUGGAACCUGGGAGCUGAACCUGAGUCUGUGCAAUCUGAGGGCUGAGAGUCAGAGGGAAGACAGGCAGGGCUGGUAGAGAAUCUAGGUUCCUAAGCUCGAGUCGUAGUCUAGGAGAAAGAGGCAAGUGGUGAUGCUCAUUUGUCACCGAGAGCUGGUGAGCGUGGCCUCGUGGGAAAGAGAGCGUCUGCCUCUUCAGAGACUUGGGCUCUGGCCUCUGCCUCCGUUGUUCUUUGGCUUGAGGUGGUAGCUGUGGUGGGCUCAAGGCCAGAGCCCCCCAGGCCUCCAGCAUAGAGACGAGAUCGCAUGGGCCACUUCUGCAAGACACGGGGAUGGGAAGUGAGUAAUGCUCACUAUUGCAGCCCCUCGUAGUCCUUGGCACCCCAAACUUGGCCUUCCCUAGCCCCCCUCCCUGAGACCCUCUCCCACCAUGACUGCCCUGAUCACAGUGGUCUCGGGCUCACCACCACUUACGGCCCCCUGCCUUCUCCUGACCCCCUGAGCCUGGCAGAGAGGCUCAUGAGGAGCUGUCUGAGAAGAGGAAGGUCCUGAAAGGAGCCCCCCGAUGGUGGGGAGGGAGGAGCAUGGCAGAGCUGGCAGCAGCCAGGGGCUGGGCAGCGGGGAGGGCAGCAGAGCCGGGGCAAGGAGAGGGUCCUCCUGAUACUGAACAGCCGUGACCUCUUCUCUUGCUCAGCCCCCAACCCAGGUACCCCUGGCCACACUUAGUGCUGCCCGUCCGUCUAAGCUGGGGACCUCCUUGCGCAUCCUUCCAGCAGGAGCAUGGACAACCCCAGAAAACACCAGUUGACUCUGCUCUGAGGGCUGCCCUCCUCUUGGCAGCCCUCUAUGGGGUGGGGGCGCCAAAGGGGCACUGCUCCCUGCUAACUAUCCCAUCCCACCACGCUGCCUGAGUUCUAGACAGAACCGGCUCUCAUCUCUUCUUUCUUCAGCAUAUUUAUCCAUCACCUCCUACAUGCAAGGGCCUGACUUGGGUCGUCGCUUUACAGGUAAGGAAACGACUCUGCCACUGUCAGCAUUUCAGAGUCGCCCCCAUUUAGUCUCAAGUUCUUACAUUUUAGCUAUAUUUGCAUGAGAGAAAAGAAAUCUCAAGUUUCAAGACAUUUCAGAACUGUGAUGUUUAGGGGAUAGAGAGGGUGAACGUAUCCUCCAUAAAAACAAGGCUGAGCCCUUUCUAGUGCUGUCUAGCCUCAGAGGGCAGAGAUGACCCAUCCUUUAUAACAGCUCACUCUGCAACCAGCAGCUUACAGCACCCUUGGCCUGCUUGAUGGCUAUGAGCAUGGGCUCUGAGGUCAGACACCCUUGGGUUCAAACUGCAUUGAGCCACUUAAUCUCCCCAAGAUUCGAUUUCCUCAUCUGUAAAGUAAUCCUCAUUGGGUUCUCGUGUGGACAAGAAGAUGGAAAGAACUGGAGUGCUAAGCCCAGCUCCUGGCAUAACUUUUGCACCCAAAUACUGUUAUUGUUGUUAUUUGUGAUGGUGAAUAUUGUUAAUUAUACUUUUCACUCAUGAUCUCAUUUCAUACCAUGGAGGGGAAGUAAGGCUCGUGUUAGCUUCCCCUUCACAUGUGAUAAAGCUGAGGCUCAGGAAAGGCAGGUCCCUGUCUAGGAGGUGGAAAGCACCCCCCCCAACACACACACACACACUGCCCCCCCACUGCUGGUCCCUCCCCCACCCCAGCUUGAUUGCUUCUCCAGUGAGGCUUUCUGAGACCUUGUUCUCCCAGAGGGGGAUCCCUCCUAUGGCAGAAGUCCAGAGGACAUGGAGGCAUUUUACGAUGAUCGGGUGAUGUGCCCUGGAAUCUCGGACUCUCCCGGUGCAGUUUCCUUUCCCAGGUCCCAGCCCCAGAAACUGCUCCGAAUUUCCCUCCUCUUGGAGGAACCGCAUUUUCCAUGAAGUCAUUUCCAGUCACCACCCUCACUGCCCCCAGGGUCAGCCGAUUCCCAAGAGCGGGGCUUGGCUCCUCUCCCUGUGAGAGAGCAGGAAGCAGCCAGUCCCCGGUCCCCACGUCAGCUCUGCUCAGGGCAGGGGGCCUGAGUCCAGUCCAUCCCAAACCCCGUUCCCCAAGGCCCGGGGCUCGUGGCCUACCUUGAGAGGGUGUAGGUAGCAGAGUCCACGCAGGAAGGGAGGCCAGGCGGGGCCGGGCAACUCGUGGCCCAGCGUGCGGGUGAGGUGGGCUAUGUAGCCGGUGGCCAGCACCAGCACAUCCAACUUGGAGAGCUUGGUGUCAGGUGGCACAGCGGGCAGAGCGGCCUGCAGGGCCAGGAAGGCCUGGCGCAGUGUCCUCACCCGGCUCCGCUCCCGUGCAGCGUUCUUGGGACUGGCCUCACUCUGCACAGAGGACCCCAGGUCCUGCCUUGUUCUGCUCAGGCGGCUCCGCUUCCUGCCAGGGCCUGCGACCAGCCGCAGCUUGGCCUUCGCCGGCUUCUGCCCCACUCCCGGCAUGGCGGGGGCCCUUCUGACCUCCCUCUGUGACAUGCCACAGCCCCGGGCGGUGUGCUGCAGCGCCUAGACGGGAGCACAGGGCCUCACGGAGCCCGUGGGCACGAGCUCAGCGGGCAGGCGGGUCGCCCAGCCAGCAGUGUCUCCGAGGGAGCUGGCGCCCAGUCAGUCCCGCUUCACUCCUUGCUCUGGGAAGGCCGCCCACCCGGCGCAGCCCCCGCGAGGAGCCUCCUGCCUGCCUCCCAAUCGGCUCAGGGGUGGGGGUACAGACGCCGGGAGUGGCCGAGCCCCAGGAGGAGGCCCCUGCUGAAGGAGGCAGGAGGGUGGUGGGAAGGGAGCUCCCUUCCCAGAGCCUCGCCGGACCCUGACAGUAGUCCUGCCAUGCACAUGCAAGUCUAGCUUUGAGGCUCAAGUCCCUGCGAGGGCCCCGAACCCCCUCCUUUGCCAGAAGCCCGCCUGCACACACCGAACAACCUUCUAAGGAAAAAGAGACUCCCAUAUCCUCGUUUUACAGAUGGGAAAAUGGGGAUCAGGAAGUGACACAACUAAUAAAUACAGCUAGUAAGUGAUGGGGGUGGGAUGAGAGCCCAGGGCAGCCUGUUAGACUUGGAAGGCUGCCCCUCAGCCUAUGCUGUUCUGCGUGGGUGGGUCACUCAUGUCUGUCCCCAUGCAGGUCACAUCAUCUGCUCCUUACAGCUAGUCAGGAGGAGUGAGGAUGAAGGGACAGCAAAUCUGCCACAGUAGCCCCUGCCUGUCCCCAAGUCCCAGUCUCUGCUUGCAGCACAAUCCAUCUGAGAUGUCCCUUGUCCACCCAUUAUGAACUCCAGGGGAGACAAAAUAAGUAGAGAGAAAGGAGAGAAAGGACAGAGGAGUAAAGGCGGAUGUACGUAGUAGAGUGAGAGAGAACCACAGCCAACCAGAGGGAAAGGAAACAGGAAGACAAGGAAAAUCCACCUGAAUGUCCGUCAUCAGUAAGGAAGUGAUCACACACAUUUUGGUAUCUCCAUACCGUGGACUGAUGCGCAGUAAUAAAAAGAAGACAGACCUCUGUAGAGUGACAUGAAAAUAACUCUCCAAGAUGCAUGGUUUUUUU
Molecule: long non-coding RNA, 6690 nt
Organism: Leptonychotes weddellii (Weddell seal)
Lineage: Eukaryota; Metazoa; Chordata; Mammalia; Carnivora; Phocidae
Source: RefSeq, a predicted model, not a curated record